GAUGAACGCUAGCGGCAGGCUUAAUACAUGCAAGUCGUGGGGCAGCAUGAGUAGCAAUACUUGAUGGCGACCGGCAAACGGGUGAGGAACACGUACACAACCUUCCUUCAAGCGGGGAAUAGCCCAGAGAAAUUGGAUUAAUACCCCAUAAUAUAUUUGAUAAGGCAUCUUAUUAAAUAUUAAAGCUUCGGCACUUGAUGAUGGGUGUGCGGCUGAUUAGAUAGUUGGCGGGGUAACGGCCCACCAAGUCUACGAUCAGUAGCUGAUGUGAGAGCAUGAUCAGCCACACGGGCACUGAGACACGGGCCCGACUCCUACGGGAGGCAGCAGUAAGGAAUAUGGACAAUGGCGAAAGUCUGAUCCAGCCAUGCGCGUGAGGAUAAGGUCUCUGAUGUAACUCUUUAUAUGGACG
RNAcentral lists this ribosomal RNA (412 nucleotides) under uncultured bacterium. RNAcentral describes it as "bacterial SSU rRNA". It matches the Rfam family "Bacterial small subunit ribosomal RNA", at positions 28 to 443 of the family's 1533-position model. The record is from RNAcentral.